This 265-nucleotide long non-coding RNA is filed under the name Homo sapiens (human). Its description in RNAcentral is "HSALNT0009273". Lineage: Eukaryota; Metazoa; Chordata; Mammalia; Primates; Hominidae. The record is from RNAcentral.
CUCUUUGCGAGCUCUGUGCUGCUGGCAAGCUGUUUUCCCACUGACAAGGGCAUGAGAUCAAGACUGAGUGUAAAGCAGAGGUGGCUUGCUGUUCUGAUGAUCAAGGCUGUGCUUCACGACUUGUGUGGAGCUAAUGAGGUGGUUUAAACGAGCUACUUCAACAGAAUCAUCAUAUUUAAUUAAUUUAUUUUAUUUUAAUUCAUUAAUUGUAAUGAAUUCUUUUCACUAUUGCUUGAGAGAGAAUGACAUAAAACAAUUGUUUUUU